UGUGUCAGUGUGUGUCUGUGAGUGUGUCAGUGUGUGUCUGUGAGUGUGUGAGUGUGUGAGUAUGUGUCAGUGUCUGUGAGUGUGUGUCAGUGUGUGUGUCUGUGAGUGUGUGUGUCAGUGAGUGUGUCAGUGUGUGUCUGUGAGUGUGUGAGUAUGUGUCUGUGAGUGUGUGAGUAUGUGUCUGUGAGUGUGUGAGUGUGUGUGUGUGUCAGUGUGAGUGUGUGAGUGUGUCAGUGUGUGUCUGAGUGUGUGUGUCAGUGAAUGUGUGAGUAUGUGUCAG
Molecule: non-coding RNA, 280 nt
Organism: Pelobates cultripes (western spadefoot toad)
Lineage: Eukaryota; Metazoa; Chordata; Amphibia; Anura; Pelobatidae
Source: the annotation of a GenBank genome assembly